AGGGGUGCAGCUCAGUGGUAGAGAAUCUGCUUUGCAUGCAGAAGGGCUCAGGUUCAAUCCCUGGCAUCUCCA
Podarcis lilfordi (Lilford's wall lizard) is the source of this 72-nucleotide non-coding RNA. The record is from the annotation of a GenBank genome assembly. Lineage: Eukaryota; Metazoa; Chordata; Lepidosauria; Squamata; Lacertidae.